This 487-nucleotide ribosomal RNA is filed under the name uncultured bacterium. RNAcentral describes it as "bacterial SSU rRNA". It matches the Rfam family "Bacterial small subunit ribosomal RNA", at positions 41 to 518 of the family's 1533-position model. The record is from RNAcentral.
UACAGGCUUAACACAUGCAAGGUCGAGGGGCGAGCAUUGGGAUAGCUGCUAUUCAGAUGGCGACCGGCGCGACGGGUGAGUAACGCGUAUCCAACCUCCUGCCAGUAGGGAACAGCCCGGCGAAAGUCGGAUUAAUGCCCUAUGUUCUUCAAUGCGGACAUCUAAGUUGAAGGAAAGAUUCAUCGCUGGCAGAUGGGGAUGCGUCCGAUUAGCUUGCCGGCGGGUAACGGCCCACCGGGCGACGAUCGGUAGGGGUUCUGAGAGGAAGGUCCCCCACACUGGUACUGAGACACGGACCAGACUCCUACGGGAGGCAGCAGUGAGGAAUAUUGGUCAAUGGGCGUAAGCCUGAACCAGCCAAGUAGCGUGCAGGAAUGACGGCCCUACGGGUUGUAAACUGCUUUUAUGCGGGGAUAAAGUGCGGCACGUGUGCCGCUUUGCAGGUACCGCAUGAAUAAGGGCCGGCUAAUUCCGUGCCAGCAGCUGC